UUAGAAAUUAGUAGUGCAAAUAUAAAUGUUUGAAUCUACUGUAUGUAUUUUAAUCUCCCCAAUGCGAUAUUAUACUAGCUAUAGCGCAUUCUUAGGAACUAGAAAAGGGUUGAGAAAGUUUAUUACGCCACUUAAAUUUUUUACUUGGUGAUAAGAUUUUCGAAACAAGGUUCAUCUAUUUUGUGAAAUAUUAACUUAACCCAACAAUUCCUUAGCUAGAUGUGCUUACUUAGUAGAUUUGCACAUACUAUAUUUAAGGAGUGACAGCGUAGUAGAUACAAAGUGGUGACGAAUCCAUUUUCUUAUCAAAAACAAUUCCAAAAGCAGGCGUUCAUUCAUUCAAAUAAAUUCCGAACACCAAUUUCACCCCAUUCUGUGUAAUAUUCAUCGACAUCAAAGCCAUCAGAAGGAAUGGCCACAAGACAGUUGCUUUGCGUAAGAGAACAUACACAGAAGCGGGCGCUAGUCAGGAGUAUUAUAGCAGCUGACAAGACGAGAAAGAAAAUAUACACAAAUACAUACAUAUGUACAUGAAUAUCUACAUUCAUAAAAACUGUUUGACACACACAUAAGUAUGUAUGUAUGUACAUAUCUGCAUUUAUGCUUAUUUAGAUGUCACAUAGUUGUACAUGCAUAUGUAUGUGUGUUGUUGAGAUACAAAGCCAAAGCGGUAUUGCUAGAAGUUGGACUUCCUGUAUAAACUCAUACAUACACAUUCAUGUAUGUAUGCACAUGCAUAUAUGUACUAUAUACAUAUCUAUUCGUGCUGAAGAACUGCCUAGCUAGUUGUUCUGAAGAACCGACUGAGUGGUAACUGACGUCUCACGCUGCUGCGAAUUUUUCAGCUCUUAAUUUUAAACCCUGUUUAUGUUUUCCAGUAGAAACUCCUUGCCUGAUGUGGGCCUCUUUUCGCUUCCUCUGACCUUCUUCAGUCUUUCAUAUGGUUGGAGUCGUUUUGUGCAUUUUACGUCCACAUCGGUGUGUGUGUGAUUGUGUGGCUGCGUCAAAUGAAUAACGAAAACAACUCCCAGUUGAGGAGUAGAAAAGCAACGGCCGGCGAUGUUGCAGCUGAGACUAUCUGAAACUUGGCGGUAAGUUGUUGUUGCUUUUUUUAUUUUUGUUUUGUUGUCAGCCCGUCUUUUCACUUUGGUGACUACAGUCACAUUUCCAAAUGAAGCCGACGGCAACUAAACGAUUCACCAAGCAACCAACCAACAAACCAGCCAGCCAAGAAAUAAAAACAAACAUAAAACAACAAAUACAAGCACAUACGCGCUAACACGUUCGUCGAGUAGGUAAUUGUCGUCAAACGUUGUUGGAAUCGAAACAGGCGAAGAGUGCAUGUUACUCAGCGAGGCAGCAGCAACGCACGAACGCUUGUGUGCCAAAGUACAAUUCGGGCAAAUACGAAUAAGUGUCUCGUGCGUGUGUUCGCAUUCGUAGGUAAUAUGAAAUCAAAGGUGGUAGUAGCGGUGGUUGGUGCGCAUCCACAACAAUGCGCCGUGUGAAAUGUGGCAACAUCGCAACGACGACAAUGUUGUUUUGUAUAAAUCCAUUUGCGAUUUGCUACAGCCAAAGCAGCUCGGCCUUUUAGCUCUGGCUCUCACAGUUUCUGUGGCGGGCUGUCGGUUGCUUUCUGCCUGCUGUCGAUGGCUGCGCUGAUGUGUUAUGCCUGCGCGUAACUGCGAGAUACAAAGAAGGUUAUUUCUACACGUCAUGGUUCGGUUGUCUGCCUGUCUGCUGCCCGCCAACCGAACGUCUGUUAAUCGGCCCUAGCGACCGUCUGUCGUCUGUUCGUUCCUCAAUCUAUCUAUUCGCAUGGCAGCUGUGUGCGUGUUUACCUUUUUUGUAGGCUGUUCGGCCGAGAAUGUAUUAGCUCUCGUUUGUGUUUUCGUGUAGGUUUCAUCGUCACCGUUUUGUUUUUCUCGAUUUCGAGUUAUUUCGCAGAUACUAUUUAUUUUUCAUUUCUGCUUUAGCAUACACAAUUCACGGUAAUUGCUUGUUGUUGCCUUUGCUGCCGCUGUUCAUGUUAUCGCCGUUCUCUGCUGAUGCUAUUUCGCUUUAGUAGUUUCAUUAUAUUGUAUGUAUUAUUUCGGCAAGUAAGUAUCUGACGGAUACUCGUUUGGUAAACAAUUUUUUUCCUUAACUUACCGGUAUAUGUUUAUGUGUGCCUUCAUGGCGUAAUGUUUAUUUUCUUCCACAACCGAAAUUCGACAUUUUGUGUUGGCUAUUCCCGAAAGCGGCAAAAAUAUAUUGUAAGAAAUACAUACAUAUGUAUACUAUUUAUGUGGCCCUCAUCCACAGAUUUAUAUCGGGCAUACAUAUAUUUAGUAUAUAGUCAUGCUAGUAUAGUGAGGCUACUAAAGUUUAAUCAUACAGUUUCGUUUAACCAGCUUGAAAUGACUCCUUAGUACCGGUUAUGUACUAUUAUUUUUGUAUUUUUUUCAUUAAUUAUCAUAUUGAUGGAUUUUUGUUUCAUAAGCACCUCAUAACGCUAUAAAAUGUUCAAAAUAAACACAAACCUACAUUUGUUUGCAAAUAUAAUUUUUAUUUCCCUGCCAGAAUAUUAAAGAAUCCUAAUUUCUGCAAAUGAAUAAUAACGGAUAGUCUAUUUCUAUCUGGGAUCAGGGCAUAAUUUUUAGUAAAAUCAAAAACGAUAAAUAUGUGUACAAUCGGCUACCUAACUGAAAACACUAUUAUAAUUUUAGAAUAACAAAGCGGAGAGUUUGCGUGUUCUUUUACUUAAAAUAUGAGAUAUUUUAUAUAUGUAUAUUAGUUAAUUGGACUUAUUUCUACCGACAACCAAUUUACGCCCACCAACAACACAUAUUUUUGAUCGUAAAAGGCACCUUAGACCUCACUGGAUUACAAUCCGCGGUCUUUCACACAUACGUACUUACGUUUAUUAACCAGUAUAAAAAAAAUCUCAUAUGGAUAUGAGUACUAUGUAAUAAUGUAUUUGCAAAAACUUACACGUACUCACAUACAUAUGUAUGUAUGUACAUACAUAUGUAUGUAUGCAUAAUGCAUAGGUGCACAUACAAACAAGUGUAUGAAAGCAAAUAAGUGAAUAUGUACAAUUCCAUUCGUAUUUAGCCAAGAACUAAAGUAUGUACUGAAUAAAUUCAUACAUGUUUACAUACACGCAUACAUAUGUAAGUAUGUACAUAUGUAUGUUCGUAGGUAUUGCAGUAAGAAAUUAAUUUAAUUACAAUUUGAACAAAACGAAUAAAGAAACGCGCUCGUCGUUCCGUCGAGCAAUCAGCCGAGUCAGUAGCAGCGAGGGAACGUCAAAACAUGAAAAAGGCAAAUUGUUUAUUGGAUGGUGUGGUGUGGUAAUGGAAAAUGAGUCAUGCGGCGGAGCAAAACAGAUGCACGUACCGUACUCACUAACACCAGCACGCUCAUGCGAAAAUUGAUAAAUAGUACAAAUUUCAACUAUACACACAUAGUUAUCUACAUAUAAGUACAUACAUACAUACAUACAUAUGCCGAGCUCAAUGUGUGAGUAAUAGUGGGCAUAUGCCAGACAUGGAAUGGAAUAACACACCAUCCGGCGAAUGCGAAUGAAAAGCCACUUAUAUAAAUACAUACAUACAUACGUGCCUUCUCACAUAUGGAUGGAUAAAAAUAAAUAUAAGUAUGUACAUACAUAUAUAAGCGGCCAACGUCGUGUAAGAUUGAAUCCGAGCUUGUGUGACCCUCCGUAGACAUGUGAGCAAAUUUCUUUUUUCGCAAUUUGCGAGCUAUUCACUUGCACACCACCGUUGUAGUCGGACGUGACGAGCUGUUCUUCCGUCAGUCGCAACUCAAGCCCAACUCCAUUGCAUUCCCGCUGCCACAAUUUUAAGCCAAGUCUGUAUUAAUUUUUUUCUAAUUUUAAUUUUUUUAUGCAGAUGUAGGAACACGAGUGUUUACAUAAAUAGACACACAUAAGAGUGUGUUUAAUAAAUGUACAUACAAUGUAUGUUUUUGCUACGAAUUUUUCGAAAUACAUACUAUACAUACAUAUUGGGUUGCCAAAAAAGUCUUGCGGUAUUUUUAUUGAAUCAAUUCGUGUGGCACCCAUACAUCGAGCUUCUUAGUGACUCCAAGCUUCUUCAAAUGGUUUAUAACAGUUUGAUGACUACUAUGCCGGUCUCUUUCGACUAAUUCAGCGAUUUUAUCGCAAUUUUCGACGACAGGCCUUCCGGAGCGUGGCGCAUCUUCGACCACCUCUACACCAGAACGAAUACGUUUAAACCAUUGUAGUGCGGUGGAAAUGGAAACUGUAUCGGGUCCAUAAACUGCACAAAUUUUAUUGACGGCUUGAGAUGCAUUUUUGCCUUUAUCGUAGUAGUACUGUAAAAUAUGCCGUAUUUUCUCUUUAUUUUGCUCCAUGUUUGCGACGCUAUAACUCACGAACGACUUAACAGAAACGACAAUCAAUCAAACACGUGUUAGCGCGUGAAAUGAGCUUUCCAAAAAGGUAUAGCAUGACCCGAUGCGACGAAUAAAACAAGAACUACGCGCUUUCAGCGCCAACUAGCGAAAAGACCGCAAGACUUUUUUGACAACCCUAUAUGAAUCUAUGUAUAUUCAUACAAAAUAAAAUUUCUUCAAAUUAUUUAAUGUUAAAACCUUUUCUUGUUUUUUGUAUACACAUACAUACUUGUGGUUAUUCGUAAAAACGAAAAUUUAUUUGUUCAAGCAUUUGUAAAAAAAACUUCUUUAUAGUAAUCAUAUUAUCAACGUGACAAACGUUUAAAUUUCUGUAUUCCUCACAUACAACCGUUUCUCCGAUAACAUAGUGUUUAUAAGCUAUGGCAGCUUAGUAUUUUCGGAUAUUACAUCACACAAAAAUGGAGAAAACCUGAUCAUAGAACCAUUGCACUUCAUGCUGCGGUCUGUACAACCGGAGAACUUUGAGGCCAGUUUCCUCGAAACUAACUUUCGUCAUCUGACCGUCAAAACUGCGAGCGAAUUAUUUAACCGAUUUACUUGAACUAAAGCGUAUUUUAUAGACAAUUUUAUACUCAAGCGCGUCAUAGAGCGCUUUUCCGAGAAAAAUGGCAUUUUCACAGUUCUUUAAAUAUUUUUAUCUCGAAAAACACAGGUAAAAAUUGCACUUUUUACAAAAUCCUGGCCUACAUGCUUGAUUUUUCGAAUUUCUCAAAAUCCCUCUACUAUGCACUUGAUAAAAGCGUCUAGAUUAAAAAAAAAUACUUUUUUCGUUUCGGAUAAGAAGCCUAGCUAGGAAGUUGGCGGCCGCAAAAAUAUUUCAAUCAACGGGAUCGUUGAUAUUUCCGCCAUUUUUGUUUUUUUUUUACAUAAAAUAUUUUUUAUCGGAUGUGAUCUGUUUUUAUUCUUCCAUAAUAAAACUGGAUACAAAAGGUAUCUCCCUCCUUAAGUAAAAGCCUAAAUAAACAGUUAUUAUCUUUGUGCAACUAAAUUUUUUGAAUUCAUGAUUCCUCAAAUAAAAUAACUUAACGUGAAAUGCUGAUGUUUCCUGUUUUACCUUGAAAAUUUGGUACAUAGUAGGCAUUUACCAUAUAAAAAUUAUAGUUUAUAAAACCAUCUUGCUGACAGCUUGGCUUAUUUCGUACAAUAAAAGUAUAUUAUGUUGGACUGAAUGAGAUCUUCUAUAGACUCUUUGUUCUUGAAGUAGCGUUGAUUGUUCCCUCAUACACGUAUUCAUUGGAAAGUGCUCGUUCGGUAUGCGCAACACCUUUCGAAAGUCUCAAAUUACGCUCAGCAAAGUGUGGUCGCCGGUUGUGUAAUGAAUUCAAGCCUUAGUCAGACACGUACAGCAUAUAUUUAUUGCCCAUACCCAUUUAUAUACUACGUAUGUGUAUAUAUUUACAUAUGUAUGUUUACUAUUUCAUGUGUUGUAGAAAAUAAUUCAUGCUAAAUACUGUGCUGGUACAUUUUUUAUUGAAAGUUCUCAAAUAACCCAACUUAAAAUAUAUGUACAUAUGUAUGUAUACUACAUAAUGGGAGAAUGGAAUAUGUAUGUACAUAUUAUUUAAUUCUAUAUACAGUAAUUUGUACGUCAGAUCCCUACAUCACAUGUGGGUCGCGUUAAUAAAGGUAUGUAGGCAUUUGUUCCUGUUGCCCAUAAUUUGGUAUACGUAAAGCCCGGGUUUAGCGAGGCUCGUCUAUUUUUUUUGUUACAUGUGUAGCUCACCAUGGCUUGGUUUCCGCGGUUUAUUUAAAAGGCGCCCUGUGAAAGGCCAUGGCUGGGUAGGAGCCUUCAGUAACUGUAGAAUAGAUACCUAGAACAUACUCAGAAAGCACAUUUUAAUUUAAGAUUACAGUUUAGGAAGAUAUAAGAGUUCAGUUAAAGCAGAUAUAUUUGAAAUAGUAUUUUCUUAUUUUUAUUACAAUUGGCUAAACGAUCCGACAAGAGUUGGAGGAAAUAAUGAAACAAUAAGUAAUUUAAAAUGUUACGCGCGAAAGCGGACAUGCAUGUUUAUAAACAUACAAAUAUAACCAUUUUUUCACAUAAAUACUAUAAGUAAGUGCAAUGAGAAAAUUACAAAUGCGAUAAAAUUCAAUAUCGGACUGACGUCAAUUGCCGCCAAUACAGACAUACAUAGCUAUUUAGCCAUAAUAUUGGUAAAAUGCCAAUAUUAAUUUUUUUAAGAUAAAGUGUACACGAAAUCCCUAUUCGCUUCGAUUGAUUCAAACACGCACACACACACCCACAAAUACGUAAGCGAAUGCAAAAUCAAAUUAUAGCCUCAUUCGCCUUUUUCCCCUUCAGUUCCUCAUAGCAUUAUAUACAUAUACAUAUGUAUGUAUGUGUAUGUAAUUAUUACCUAAAUUAUACUAUAGAGGCACAUCUGGUCACACGCUCUUCAAAUGUAUACAACAUUCGUGAUUCGCUGCAUUAUUGAUAGAAAAAAUCGAUAAAAUAAAUUAUUAUUAAAGGCGCAAAAAAUUCUUCAGAGGGGUUGCACACCAUGAAUGAAAACUAUAAUUAUAAAACUGAAAUAAAAUCAAUAUUUGAAUGAAAAUGGCAGCUGAAAAAGCCGUACGCUACCAUUGGUCAAACGUGUGCGACACAGAAAUCCACUUAAAACAUCCUGAAGCAUAAAUAAUCGAAAACAUAUAAAUUGCCAUUACUAAGCCUCGAAUUAAGAUACAAAAAUGUUAUUUGGUAUAACGAAAUGCAUUAGCGAGAGGCAUCUAUUUUAUGGUUGAAAAAAUGUUUAGAAAAUCGAUGUGGGCAAAUCGAUUCUGCCCUCUAAUAAUUUUAAUGUGCAUAACUUUUAAACUAUUUAAACUAUAAUAACUAAAUUCGCUCUUAUCGCCACUGUAAAAAUGGAUGAAAUCGGAUGAUAACCCCACCUAUUCCCCAAAUAACGAUUCUAUUAAAAACUACUAAAAGCGCUAUAAAUCACUAAAUAAAUGUGUCAGAAACACAAAUUUUUACACCCGAGAACGUAGAAAUGGGCUUAAUAGGAUGAUGGGCUGUAAAAAUUUUACGAUGGGCGUGACAUCACCCACAUUUAGAUAAAACCCCAUAUCUUGGGACCUACCCGAGCUAUUUGGAAUCAAAUUGACCAAAUGCGGUAGGCAAUAUUAUCUUACUAUUCCAAUAUUACAACGAAAAAUGAGCGAAAUAAGACAAAAAUAAUGCCUACUUCGUGAUAGCACAACUUCAAAUUCCAUCCUUCAUUUUAAUUUAAAUAUUACUCAUACGCUCUGCUGAACUGAGCAAAAAUACGUGUUGCUUUCUAGUGUGGUGUAAAAUAUAAGUACAUAUGUAUGUUCGGCACCGGCAUUUUAUAUAUCCAGGAAAUAUGUAUUACCUUAUCCCUUUUUUGUUGUUCUUAACACGGAAGUAUCGAAAAUUGCAGUGACAAAACCUGCAAGAAGGUGCAAAAAACCAUACUCGUAAUCGUCGGCAGAUUUUGCGACGCAAUAUUAUUGCCGGUGCUCAAUUCCAUUCACAUCGCCACAAUUAUCGCAUUCACAAAUACUUGUAUGUAUAUAUAUGUAUGUAAGCCCGUUAAUAUGAUCGCUUUGCAAGCGGCAGAUGUCAGUAGCGUUAUCUGCCCUAGAAGUAAUAUGCAGCUCUAUGGAACUUAUAAUUCUGCAUAACCGAAUUUAAACAGAAAAUAUUAUCAUAUAAUAUUUAAAAACUAAUUUGUGUUUCUUAACCCCAGUAAAUUCAGCCUCAACUAGAAUCCCUUAUCUUUUGUGGAACACUAUGCUACAAGUAUGUCUCUGUGUUUUCUCCCGAGUACAUUUUGUAACAUUUCGAGGAGCUGUCAGAUAUUUUCCUUCAUUUAGUCAUUUUGUUUGUGUUGUUUUCUCUCCUGGGACUUGGAUUUAUUUGACUUGAAUUUAGCCCAUUCCCACGAGUUCGUUUUUGAUUUUUGAAGGAAAAAUUAAUAACUGUUUAUAUUUAAGGCCGAAUGUGCUCGUUGAAUUUAUAUUUAGGCUCUGUAAUUUGUUUUUGUAAUGUUGUUUUACUUUGCUUCUAAACUACAAUUAAUCAUUUAGAAAAAAUUUCACAUCAUUGCCUUUAGGUGAUAAAGAAAUAUUUACUCAGUCAAAUGCUUGUGUGUGUUCAAUGUGAGUAUCAGUUAAACUGACAUUUCAAACUGAUUAGAUCACAUGAAAUUCGAUAAGAUAGUGUGAGAAGGGCAUUUUCAGUUAUGAUUGGACGGCAACGGCAACGGCAACGUGCAACGUGGAGUGGUGCGAUUUGUGUUAGCGUGAAAAAUAACAUGUGGCUCUAGCAAGCAGUUAUGGCAGUCGAAAUUAAAUGCCUACGUAUGUGUGAAUUAUCGGUACUUGACCGACUUUUCACAAUUACGAUUGUAAAACUAGCCGUUUGCAUUUACUCUAUUUUUGCUUAGAUUAGAUUUGGGUAUGUCCGAUAUCGGCAAGAUGUGGUCAUGAAGACACGUUGAAACUAUCUAUAUAAAUACAUAUGUAAGUAUGUA
This is a long non-coding RNA of Bactrocera dorsalis (oriental fruit fly), 8939 nucleotides long. RefSeq lists it as uncharacterized. Lineage: Eukaryota; Metazoa; Arthropoda; Insecta; Diptera; Tephritidae. The transcript has 2 exons. The record is from RefSeq and is a predicted model, not a curated record.